AAUGAACGCUGGCGGCGCGCCUAAUACAUGCAAGUCGAGCGAGAAGACGUAGCAAUACGUUUGUAAAGCGGCGAACGGGUGAGGAAUACAUGGGUAACCUACCCUCGAGUGGGGAAUAACUAGCCGAAAGGUUAGCUAAUACCGCGUACGCUCCUUGGACUUCGGUUCAGGGAGGAAAGCGAUACCGUGGGUAUCGCGCUCUUGGAUGGGCUCAUGUCCUAUCAGCUUGUUGGCGAGGUAACGGCUCACCAAGGCUUCGACGGGUAGCUGGUCUGAGAGGACGAUCAGCCACACUGGCACUGCGACACGGGCCAGACUCCUACGGGAGGCGGCAGUAAGG
This 340-nucleotide ribosomal RNA is filed under the name uncultured bacterium. RNAcentral's name for it is "bacterial SSU rRNA". It matches the Rfam family "Bacterial small subunit ribosomal RNA", at positions 29 to 359 of the family's 1533-position model. The record is from RNAcentral.